RNAcentral lists this unclassified non-coding RNA (348 nucleotides) under soil metagenome. Its description in RNAcentral is "partial contains 5.8S ribosomal RNA, internal transcribed spacer 2, and large subunit ribosomal RNA". The stretch from base 1 to 120 matches the Rfam family "5.8S ribosomal RNA", at positions 35 to 154 of the family's 154-position model. The record is from RNAcentral.
GAUGAAGAACGUAGCGAAAUGCGAUAAGUAAUGUGAAUUGCAGAAUUCAGUGAAUCAUCGAGUCUUUGAACGCACAUUGCGCCCCCUGGUAUUCCGGGGGGCAUGCCUGUCCGAGCGUCAUUGCUGCCCUCAAGCACGGCUUGUGUGUUGGGCCCCCGUCACCGGUUUCCCCCGGGGACGGGCCCGAAAGGCAGCGGCGGCACCGCGUCCGGUCCUCGAGCGUAUGGGGCUUUGUCACCCGCUCUGUAGGCCCGGCCGGCGCCAGCCGACACCCAACUUUAUUUCUAAGGUUGACCUCGGAUCAGGUAGGGAUACCCGCUGAACUUAAGCAUAUCAAUAAGCGGAGGA